ACGUACACUCCUGCGGGAGGCAGCAGUGGGGAAUAUUGGACAAUGGGCGCAAGCCUGAUCCAGCCAUGCCGCGUGAGUGAUGAAGGCCCUAGGGUUGUAAAGCUCUUUCACCGGUGAAGAUAAUGACGGUAACCGGAGAAGAAGCCCCGGCUAACUUCGUGCCAGCAGCCGCGGUAAUACGAAGGGGGCUAGCGUUGUUCGGAUUUACUGGGCGUAAAGCGCACGUAGGUGGACUAUUAAGUCAGGGGUGAAAUCCCGGGGCUCAACCCCGGAACUGCCUUUGAUACUGGUAGUCUUGAGUUCGAGAGAGGUGAGUGGAAUUCCGAGUGUAGAGGUGAAAUUCGUAGAUAUUCGGAGGAACACCAGUGGCGAAGGCGGCUCACUGGCUCGAUACUGACGCUGAGGUGCGAAAGCGUGGGGAGCAAACAGGAUUAGAUACCCUAGUAGUCCCA
Molecule: ribosomal RNA, 452 nt
Filed under: uncultured organism
Description: partial 16S ribosomal RNA
Rfam family: Bacterial small subunit ribosomal RNA
Source: RNAcentral